This 589-nucleotide ribosomal RNA is filed under the name uncultured bacterium. RNAcentral's name for it is "bacterial SSU rRNA". It matches the Rfam family "Bacterial small subunit ribosomal RNA", at positions 69 to 643 of the family's 1533-position model. The record is from RNAcentral.
GUAACACAGGGGAAGCUUGCUCCCGGGUGACGAGCGGCGGACGGGUGAGUAAUGUCUGGGAAACUGCCUGAUGGAGGGGGAUAACUACUGGAAACGGUAGCUAAUUACCGCAUAACGUCGCAAGACCAAAGAGGGGGACCUUCGGGCCUCUUGCCAUCAGAUGUGCCCAGAUGGGAUUAGCUAGUAGGGUGGGGUAACGGCUCACCUAGGCGACGAUCCCUAGCUGGUCUGAGAGGAUGACCAGCCACACUGGAACUGAGACACGGUCCAGACUCCUACGGGAGGCAGCAGGUGGGGAAAUAUUGCACAAUGGGCGCAAGCCUGAUGCAGCCAUGCCGCGUGUAUGAAGAAGGCCUUCGGGUUGUAAAGUACUUUCAGCGGGGAGGAAGGCGUUGAGGUUAAUAACCUCAGCGAUUGACGUUACCCGCAGAAGAAGCACCGGCUAACUCCGUGCCAGCAGCCGCGGUAAUACGGAGGGUGCAAGCGUUAAUCGGAAUUACUGGGUGUAAAGCGCACGCAGGCGGUCUGUCAAGUCGGAUGUGAAAUCCCCGGGCUCAACCUGGGAACUGCAUUCGAAACUGGCAGGCUA